AGUUUAUGAACUUGUAUAAGUAUAUAUUUUGAAAAUAUAAAAAAGAAGCAUCAUCUUCUAUAAACUU
This 67-nucleotide transfer RNA is filed under the name Neohydnus sinensis. RNAcentral describes it as "tRNA-Ser". Lineage: Eukaryota; Metazoa; Arthropoda; Insecta; Coleoptera; Cleridae. The record is from RNAcentral.